GUCCCUCGCGGAUGGAGCUGAAAUCAGUCGAAGAUACCAGCUGGCUGCAACUGUUUAUUAAAAACACAGCACUGUGCAAACACGAAAGUGGACGUAUACGGUGUGACGCCUGCCCGGUGCCGGAAGGUUAAUUGAUGGGGUCAGCGCAAGCGAAGCUCUUGAUCGAAGCCCCGGUAAACGGCGGCCGUAACUAUAACGGUCCUAAGGUAGCGAAAUUCCUUGUCGGGUAAGUUCCGACCUGCACGAAUGGCGUAAUGAUGGCCAGGCUGUCUCCACCCGAGACUCAGUGAAAUUGAACUCGCUGUGAAGAUGCAGUGUACCCGCGGCAAGACGGAAAGACCCCGUGAACCUUUACUAUAGCUUGACACUGAACAUUGAGCCUUGAUGUGUAGGAUAGGUGGGAGGCUUAGAAGUGUGGACGCCAGUCUGCAUGGAGCCGACCUUGAAAUACCACCCUUUAAUGUUUGAUGUUCUAACGUUGACCCGUAAUCCGGGUUGCGGACAGUGUCUGGUGGGUAGUUUGACUGGGGCGGUCUCCUCCUAAAGAGUAACGGAGGAGCACGAAGGUUGGCUAAUCCUGGUCGGACAUCAGGAGGUUAGUGCAAUGGCAUAAGCCAGCUUGACUGCGAGCGUGACGGCGCGAGCAGGUGCGAAAGCAGGUCAUAGUGAUCCGGUGGUUCUGAAUGGAAGGGCCAUCGCUCAACGGAUAAAAGGUACUCCGGGGAUAACAGGCUGAUACCGCCCAAGAGUUCAUAUCGACGGCGGUGUUUGGCACCUCGAUGUCGGCUCAUCACAUCCUGGGGCUGAAGUAGGUCCCAAGGGUAUGGCUGUUCGCCAUUUAAAGUGGUACGCGAGCUGGGUUUAGAACGUCGUGAGACAGUUCGGUCCCUAUCUGCCGUGGGCGCUGGAGAACUGAGGGGGGCUGCUCCUAGUACGAGAGGACCGGAGUGGACGCAUCACUGGUGUUCGGGUUGUCAUGCCAAUGGCACUGCCCGGUAGCUAAAUGCGGAAGAGAUAAGUGCUGAAAGCAUCUAAGCACGAAACUUGCCCCGAGAUGAGUUCUCCCUGACUCCUUGAGAGUCCUGAAGGAACGUUGAAGACGACGACGUUGAUAGGCCGGGUGUGUAAGCGCAGCGAUGCGUUGAGCUAACCGGUACUAAUGAACCGUGAGGCUUAACCUUACAACGCCGAAGGUGUUU
This 1199-nucleotide ribosomal RNA is filed under the name Escherichia coli. Its description in RNAcentral is "partial 23S ribosomal RNA". It matches the Rfam family "Bacterial large subunit ribosomal RNA", at positions 1747 to 2925 of the family's 2925-position model. Lineage: Bacteria; Pseudomonadati; Pseudomonadota; Gammaproteobacteria; Enterobacterales; Enterobacteriaceae. The record is from RNAcentral.